AUACUAAAAAUUAUUAUUCCAACAAUUAUACUGUUACCAAUAACAUGAUUCUCUAAAAAUUCUAUAAUCUGAAUCAACAUGACUACCCACAGUCUACUCAUCAGCCUCAUUACCCUAUUAUUUGUUAAUCAAUUCAACGAUAACUCACCCAACUUCUCAUUAAUCUUUUCUGACCCGCUGACAUCCCCCCUUCUAAUCUCAACAGCCUGACUACAAACUCCAGCAAGCCAAUAUCACCUGCCCAAUGAAUCACCCCCAUGAAAAAAAGCUCUAUAUUUCUAUAUUGGUUUCCCUGCAGAUUUUAAUUAUAGCAUUCACAGCCACAGAACUAAUUAUAUUUUAUAUCCUCUUUGAAGCUACACUAAUUCCUACCCUGAUUAUCAUCACCCGCUGAGGUAGGCAACCAGAGCGCCUCAAUGCCAGCUCAUAUUUCCUAUUUAUACACUAGUAGGAUCCGUCCCUCUACUUGUUACACUUGUCUACAUUCAAAAUACCUCAGUUUCACUAAAUAUUCUAGUAAUGAUAUUUACCACCCAAGAACUAUUAGCCUCCUGAUCCAAUAAUCUUAUAUGACUAGCAUGUAUUAUGGCUUUUAUAGUGAAAAUACCUCUAUACGGACUUCACCUGUGACUCCCUAAAGCCCACGUAGAAGCCCCUAUUGACGGCUCAAUAGUACUUGCAGCAGUUCUCCUAAAGCUAGGCGGCUGUGGUGUAAUAUGGCUUACCCUUAUCCUCAGCCCCCUAACAGAAUAUAUAGCCUACCCAUUCCUCAUAUUAUCCCUAUGAGGAAUGGUUAUGACAAGCUCUAUUUGUCUACGACAAACCAAUCUAAAAUCACUUAUUGCCUACUCCUGCAUAAGCCAUAUAGCACUUGUUAUCACAGCUAUCCUCAUCCAAAACCCUUGAAGCUUUACAGGUGCAGUCACCCUUAUAAUUGCCCACGGACUUACUUCAUCCUUAUUAUUCUGCCUAGCAAAUUUGAACUACGAGCAAAUCCAUACCCGAACCAUAUUACUUACCCGAGGCCUUCAAAUACUGCUUCCACUAAUAGCCUCUUGAUGACUUCUAGCAAAUCUCACUAACCUUGCCUUACCCCCUACCAUUAAUCUAGUAGGAUAACUCUUUGUGACCAUAGCUUCAUUCUCCUGAUCAAAUAUCACUAUUAUGUUUACAGGACUUAACAUACUAAUUACAGCCCUCUACUCCCUAUAUGUAUUAAUCAUGAUACAACAAGGGACACUCACAUAUUACAUUGACAGUAUUAAACCUUCCUUUACACGAGAAAAUACAUUAAUAUUUAUACAUGUCGCACCUAUCCUUCUAUUACCCUUAAAACCUAAAAUUAUUAUGGGGUUUACA
This 1359-nucleotide long non-coding RNA is filed under the name Homo sapiens (human). RNAcentral describes it as "non-protein coding lnc-RALB-3:1". The record is from RNAcentral. Lineage: Eukaryota; Metazoa; Chordata; Mammalia; Primates; Hominidae.